This 504-nucleotide ribosomal RNA is filed under the name uncultured bacterium. Its description in RNAcentral is "partial 16S ribosomal RNA". It matches the Rfam family "Bacterial small subunit ribosomal RNA", at positions 28 to 523 of the family's 1533-position model. The record is from RNAcentral.
GAUAAACGCUAGCGGCAGGCUUAACACAUGCAAGUCGAGGGGCAGCAUAGAUUGUCGCAAUACAAUUGGUGGCGACCGGCGCACGGGUGCGUAACGCGUAUGCAACCUACCCGUCACAGGGGGAUAAUCCGGAGCAAUCUGGUCUAAUACCCCAUAACAUAUGGAUCGGCAUCGGUUCAUGUUGAAAUUUUCGGAGGUGACGGAUGGGCAUGCGUAGCAUUAGCUUGUUGGUGAGGUAACGGCUCACCAAGGCGACGAUGCUUAGGGGGACUGAGAGGUUUUCCCCCCACACUGGUACUGAGACACGGACCAGACUCCUACGGGAGGCAGCAGUGAGGAAUAUUGGUCAAUGGGCGCAAGCCUGAACCAGCCAUGCCGCGUGCAGGAUGACGGCUCUAUGAGUUGUAAACUGCUUUUGUACGAGGGUAAAGUGGGUUACGUGUAACCUUUUGAAAGUAUCGUACGAAUAAGGAUCGGCUAACUCCGUGCCAGCCGCCGCAGUAA